RNAcentral lists this ribosomal RNA (253 nucleotides) under uncultured bacterium. Its description in RNAcentral is "partial 16S ribosomal RNA". It matches the Rfam family "Bacterial small subunit ribosomal RNA", at positions 524 to 776 of the family's 1533-position model. The record is from RNAcentral.
GACGAACCGUGCGAACGUUGUUCGGAAUCACUGGGCUUAAAGGGCGCGUAGGCGGGCUGCCGAGUCCGGGGUGAAAUCCUCUGGCUUAACCAGAGAACGGCCCCGGGUACUGGCGGCCUCGAGGGGGGUAGGGGCGUGCGGAACUAUGGGUGGAGCGGUGAAAUGCGUUGAUAUCCAUAGGAACUCCGGUGGCGAAGGCGGCACGCUGGACCCCGUCUGACGCUGAGGCGCGAAAGCCAGGGGAGCGAACGGG